Molecule: long non-coding RNA, 964 nt
Filed under: Marmota monax (woodchuck)
Lineage: Eukaryota; Metazoa; Chordata; Mammalia; Rodentia; Sciuridae
Source: RNAcentral
AAACUUAUCUCGAUAUCAUAAAGGUUAUGUGUGACAAACCCAAGGCCAACAUCAUACUCAAUGGAGAAAAACUGAAUACUUUUCUUCUAAAAAAAGGAACAAGGCAGAGAUUACCACCCUCACCAUUCCUAUUCAACAUAUUCUUUGAAAACUUUGCUAGCGCAAUCAGGUAAAAGAGGAAAUUAAAGUGAUACAAUAGGAAAAAAAGAAGUCAAAUUAUCACUGCUUGCUGAUGACAUAAUCUUAUAAUUAAUAAACCCCAAACUCACCAAAAGACCUUUAGAGAUGAUAAACAAACUUUAAUAAAGUCAGAGGAUACAAGCUGUAUGUACAUAAACUGAUACCUUUCCUAUAUAUCAAUAAUGAAUCUGCUCAAAAAAUUAGGAGAACUACUAUCCCAUUAACAAUAACUUUGGAAAAAUACUUGGGAAUUAAUUGAAUGAAGGAAGUGGAGGACCAGUACAAUGAGAAGAUUAUAGCACUGAAGAAAGACUUGAAAGAUGGAAAGAGCUCCUGUGUUGUGGAUAGUCAAAUUUAAUAUUGUCAAAAUGACCAUAUUAACAAGAAUAUUAUACAAAUUUAAUACAAACCCCAUCAAAAUACAUUAUUCACAGAACUAGGAAAAAGUUCUUAAAUUAAUUUGGAAGAAUAACAUGUCAAGAAUGGCCAAAGCAACCCUGAGCCAUGCUGGAGGAAUCACAGUGAACCUAAAAUUUUACUACAGAAUAACAAAAAUAUCAUGGUAUUGGCAUCAUAACAGACCUGAAGACAAAAGGAAUAGAAUAGGAAACAUGAGACAAACCCCCAUAGAUAGCCAUCUGAUGCUUGAUAAAGAUGGAAAACACAUACAUCAGAGAAAAGAUACCCUUUGUAACAAAUGGUGCUCAAAAAGUUGGAUAUUCAUAUGUAGAAGACUGAAAGUUGACCCCUGUUCAUCAAAGUAAACUCAAAGUGGACCAAAGAC